GCUGGGUGUGGAGGCCUGUGCCUGUAGUCCCAGCUACUUGGGAGGCUGAGGCAGGAGAAUUGCUAGAACCCGGGAGGCAGAGGUUGCAGUGAGCCAAGAUCACGCCACUGCGUUCUAGCCUGGGCGACAGAGCAAGAUUCUGUCUCUU
This 148-nucleotide non-coding RNA is filed under the name Nomascus leucogenys (northern white-cheeked gibbon). Lineage: Eukaryota; Metazoa; Chordata; Mammalia; Primates; Hylobatidae. The record is from Rfam by way of RNAcentral.